This 744-nucleotide ribosomal RNA is filed under the name Neocatenulostroma germanicum. Its description in RNAcentral is "eukaryotic LSU rRNA". It matches the Rfam family "Eukaryotic large subunit ribosomal RNA", at positions 95 to 871 of the family's 3401-position model. The record is from RNAcentral. Lineage: Eukaryota; Fungi; Ascomycota; Dothideomycetes; Mycosphaerellales; Teratosphaeriaceae.
GAAGCGGCAACAGCUCAAAUUUGAAAUCUGGCGCAAGCCCGAGUUGUAAUUUGUAGAGGAUGCUUCUGGGCAGCGGCCGGUCUAAGUUCCUUGGAACAGGACGUCACAGAGGGUGAGAAUCCCGUAUGUGAUCGGUUGGCACCCGCUACGUAGCUCCUUCGACGAGUCGAGUUGUUUGGGAAUGCAGCUCUAAAUGGGAGGUAAAUGCCUUCUAAAGCUAAAUACCGGCCAGAGACCGAUAGCGCACAAGUAGAGUGAUCGAAAGAUGAAAAGCACUUUGGAAAGAGAGUUAAACAGCACGUGAAAUUGUUGAAAGGGAAGCGCAUGCAACCAGACUUGUCCGCGGUGUUCCGCCGGUCUUCUGACCGGUCUACUCGCCGCGAGCAGGCCAGCAUCAUCUGGGAGCGCCGGAUAAAGGUAGCGGGAAUGUGGCCCCUCGGGGUGUUAUAGCUCGCUACACAAUACGGCGCCUCCCGGGUGAGGUCCGCGCUUCGGCUAGGAUGCUGGCGUAAUGGUUGUAUGCGGCCCGUCUUGAAACACGGACCAAGGAGUCUACCAUCUAUGCGAGUGUUCGGGUGUCAAACCCCUACGCGCAAUGAAAGUGAACGGAGGUGGGAACCGCAAGGUGCACCAUCGACCGAUCCUGAUGUCUUCGGAUGGAUUUGAGUAAGAGCAUAGCUGGUGGGACCCGAAAGAUGGUGAACUAUGCCUGAAUAGGGUGAAGCCAGAGGAAACUCUGGUGGA